AUUGAACGCUGGCGGAAUGCUUUACACAUGCAAGUCGAACGGCAGCACGGACUUCGGUCUGGUGGCGAGUGGCGAACGGGUGAGUAAUGUAUCGGAACGUGCCCAGUCGUGGGGGAUAACGUAGUGAAAAUUACGCUAAUACCGCAUACGAUCUAUGGAUGAAAGCGGGGGAUCGCAAGACCUCGCGCGAUUGGAGCGGCCGAUAUCAGAUUAGGUAGUUGGUGGGGUAAAGGCCCACCAAGCCAACGAUCUGUAGCUGGUUCGAGAGGACGACCAGCCACACUGGAACUGAGACACGGGCCAGACUCCUACGGGAGGCAGCAGUGGGGAAUUUUGGACAAUGGGCGAAAGCCUGAUCCAGCCAUUCCGCGUGCAGGAUGAAGGCCCUCGGGUUGUAAACUGCUUUUGUACAGAACGAAAAGGUUUCUACUAAUACUAGGAACUCAUGACGGUACUGUAAGAAUAAGCACCGGCUAACUACGUGCCAGCAGCCGCCGUAA
Molecule: ribosomal RNA, 500 nt
Filed under: uncultured bacterium
Lineage: Bacteria
Description: partial 16S ribosomal RNA
Rfam family: Bacterial small subunit ribosomal RNA
Source: RNAcentral